CCCAUGAAGAAUUAUGCAGGAUGUUCUUUUUACCAGAGCCAGAAGAUGGGGAAUUUGUAAAGCUUAUGCUGAAAGCGAACAGGCUUUAGUCCAUGAGAAGUGUGUUAGACCAGAAGGUCUGGAAGGGAUAGUUCAUGCUUCAGGUCUGCUUACGAGAAUUAUACACCAAAACCAAGCACAACACCGGAUAUUAUUGAAAAGUCUGUGCCGUGGAAAUACUGAUGCUACUGGGUCAAGUACUCAGAUGCUAUGCUGUUGUAUGAAUCCAGCUAUGCUGCUACAUUAUUCUUCUGUCUUCGAUUUUCUAUGGUAAAUGUAGCAUUGGGGUUAGUUAUAUUAGCAUUAGCUAUAUUGGGGGUUUGCUGUUACUUGUUUUUUCUUUCUUUA
This is a long non-coding RNA of Harpia harpyja (harpy eagle), 387 nucleotides long. RefSeq lists it as uncharacterized. The transcript has 3 exons. The record is from RefSeq and is a predicted model, not a curated record. Lineage: Eukaryota; Metazoa; Chordata; Aves; Accipitriformes; Accipitridae.